RNAcentral lists this ribosomal RNA (382 nucleotides) under uncultured bacterium. RNAcentral's name for it is "bacterial SSU rRNA". It matches the Rfam family "Bacterial small subunit ribosomal RNA", at positions 30 to 414 of the family's 1533-position model. The record is from RNAcentral.
AUUGAACGCUGGCGGCAUGCCUUACACAUGCAAGUCGAACGGCAGCACGGGAGCAAUCCUGGUGGCGAGUGGCGAACGGGUGAGUAAUAUAUCGGAACGUGCCCAGUCGUGGGGAUAACGUAGCGAAAGCUACGCUAAUACCGCAUACGAUCUAUGGAUGAAAGCGGGGGAUCGCAAGACCUCGCGCGAUUGGAGCGGCCGAUAUCAGAUUAGGUAGUUGGUGAGGUAAAGGCUCACCAAGCCGACGAUCUGUAGCUGGUCUGAGAGGACGACCAGCCACACUGGGACUGAGACACGGCCCAGACUCCUACGGAGGCAGCAGUGGGGAAUUUUGGACAAUGGACGCAAGUCUGAUCCAGCCAUUCCGCGUGCAGGAUGAAGG